Molecule: ribosomal RNA, 447 nt
Filed under: uncultured bacterium
Lineage: Bacteria
Description: bacterial SSU rRNA
Rfam family: Bacterial small subunit ribosomal RNA
Source: RNAcentral
AUUGAACGCUGGCGGCAUGCUUUACACAUGCAAGUCGAACGGUAACGCGGGGGCAACCCUGGCGACGAGUGGCGAACGGGUGAGUAAUACAUCGGAACAUGUCCUGGAGUGGGGGAUAGCUCGGCGAAAGCCGGAUUAAUACCGCAUACGCUCUGAGGAGGAAAGCGGGGGACCUGGUAACGGGCCUCGCGCUGCGGGAGUGGCCGAUGUCGGAUUAGCUAGUUGGUGAGGAAAGGCUCACCAAGGCGACGAUCCGUAGCUGGUCUGAGAGGAUGAUCAGCCACACUGGGACUGAGACACGGCCCAGACUCCUACGGAGGCAGCAGUGGGGAAUUUUGGACAAUGGGCGCAAGCCUGAUCCAGCAAUGCCGCGUGAGUGAGGAAGGCCUUAGGGUUGUAAAGCUCUUCCACCCGCGACGAUGAUGACGGUAGCGGGAGAAGAGCCCC